Molecule: ribosomal RNA, 2786 nt
Filed under: human gut metagenome
Description: bacterial LSU rRNA
Rfam family: Bacterial large subunit ribosomal RNA
Source: RNAcentral
AGCGUACACGGUGGAUGCCCUGGCAGUCAGAGGCGAUGAAGGACGUGCUAAUCUGCGAUAAGCGUCGGUGAGGUGAUAUGAACCGUUAUAACCGGCGAUUUCCGAAUGGGGAAACCCAGUGUGUUUCGACACACUAUCAUUAACUGAAUCCAUAGGUUAAUGAGGCGAACCGGGGGAACUGAAACAUCUAAGUACCCCGAGGAAAAGAAAUCAACCGAGAUUCCCCCAGUAGCGGCGAGCGAACGGGGAGCAGCCCAGAGUCUGAAUCAGUGUGUGUGUUAGUGGAAGCGUCUGGAAAGGCGCGCGAUACAGGGUGACAGCCCCGUACACAAAAAUGCACAUGCUGUGAGCUCGAUGAGUAGGGCGGGACACGUGGUAUCCUGUCUGAAUAUGGGGGGACCAUCCUCCAAGGCUAAAUACUCCUGACUGACCGAUAGUGAACCAGUACCGUGAGGGAAAGGCGAAAAGAACCCCGGCGAGGGGAGUGAAAAAGAACCUGAAACCGUGUACGUACAAGCAGUGGGAGCCUCUUAAUGGGGUGACUGCGUACCUUUUGUAUAAUGGGUCAGCGACUUAUAUUCUGUAGCAAGGUUAACCGAAUAGGGGAGCCGAAGGGAAACCGAGUCUUAACUGGGCGUUAAGUUGCAGGGUAUAGACCCGAAACCCGGUGAUCUAGCCAUGGGCAGGUUGAAGGUUGGGUAACACUAACUGGAGGACCGAACCGACUAAUGUUGAAAAAUUAGCGGAUGACUUGUGGCUGGGGGUGAAAGGCCAAUCAAACCGGGAGAUAGCUGGUUCUCCCCGAAAGCUAUUUAGGUAGCGCCUCGUGAAUUCAUCUCCGGGGGUAGAGCACUGUUUCGGCAAGGGGGUCAUCCCGACUUACCAACCCGAUGCAAACUGCGAAUACCGGAGAAUGUUAUCACGGGAGACACACGGCGGGUGCUAACGUCCGUCGUGAAGAGGGAAACAACCCAGACCGCCAGCUAAGGUCCCAAAGUCAUGGUUAAGUGGGAAACGAUGUGGGAAGGCCCAGACAGCCAGGAUGUUGGCUUAGAAGCAGCCAUCAUUUAAAGAAAGCGUAAUAGCUCACUGGUCGAGUCGGCCUGCGCGGAAGAUGUAACGGGGCUAAACCAUGCACCGAAGCUGCGGCAGCGACGCUUAUGCGUUGUUGGGUAGGGGAGCGUUCUGUAAGCCUGUGAAGGUGUGCUGUGAGGCAUGCUGGAGGUAUCAGAAGUGCGAAUGCUGACAUAAGUAACGAUAAAGCGGGUGAAAAGCCCGCUCGCCGGAAGACCAAGGGUUCCUGUCCAACGUUAAUCGGGGCAGGGUGAGUCGACCCCUAAGGCGAGGCCGAAAGGCGUAGUCGAUGGGAAACAGGUUAAUAUUCCUGUACUUGGUGUUACUGCGAAGGGGGGACGGAGAAGGCUAUGUUGGCCGGGCGACGGUUGUCCCGGUUUAAGCGUGUAGGCUGGUUUUCCAGGCAAAUCCGGAAAAUCAAGGCUGAGGCGUGAUGACGAGGCACUACGGUGCUGAAGCAACAAAUGCCCUGCUUCCAGGAAAAGCCUCUAAGCAUCAGGUAACAUCAAAUCGUACCCCAAACCGACACAGGUGGUCAGGUAGAGAAUACCAAGGCGCUUGAGAGAACUCGGGUGAAGGAACUAGGCAAAAUGGUGCCGUAACUUCGGGAGAAGGCACGCUGAUAUGUAGGUGAAGCGACUUGCUCGUGGAGCUGAAAUCAGUCGAAGAUACCAGCUGGCUGCAACUGUUUAUUAAAAACACAGCACUGUGCAAACACGAAAGUGGACGUAUACGGUGUGACGCCUGCCCGGUGCCGGAAGGUUAAUUGAUGGGGUCAGCGCAAGCGAAGCUCUUGAUCGAAGCCCCGGUAAACGGCGGCCGUAACUAUAACGGUCCUAAGGUAGCGAAAUUCCUUGUCGGGUAAGUUCCGACCUGCACGAAUGGCGUAAUGAUGGCCAGGCUGUCUCCACCCGAGACUCAGUGAAAUUGAACUCGCUGUGAAGAUGCAGUGUACCCGCGGCAAGACGGAAAGACCCCGUGAACCUUUACUAUAGCUUGACACUGAACAUUGAGCCUUGAUGUGUAGGAUAGGUGGGAGGCUUUGAAGUGUGGACGCCAGUCUGCAUGGAGCCGACCUUGAAAUACCACCCUUUAAUGUUUGAUGUUCUAACGUUGGCCCGUAAUCCGGGUUGCGGACAGUGUCUGGUGGGUAGUUUGACUGGGGCGGUCUCCUCCUAAAGAGUAACGGAGGAGCACGAAGGUUGGCUAAUCCUGGUCGGACAUCAGGAGGUUAGUGCAAUGGCAUAAGCCAGCUUGACUGCGAGCGUGACGGCGCGAGCAGGUGCGAAAGCAGGUCAUAGUGAUCCGGUGGUUCUGAAUGGAAGGGCCAUCGCUCAACGGAUAAAAGGUACUCCGGGGAUAACAGGCUGAUACCGCCCAAGAGUUCAUAUCGACGGCGGUGUUUGGCACCUCGAUGUCGGCUCAUCACAUCCUGGGGCUGAAGUAGGUCCCAAGGGUAUGGCUGUUCGCCAUUUAAAGUGGUACGCGAGCUGGGUUUAGAACGUCGUGAGACAGUUCGGUCCCUAUCUGCCGUGGGCGCUGGAGAACUGAGGGGGGCUGCUCCUAGUACGAGAGGACCGGAGUGGACGCAUCACUGGUGUUCGGGUUGUCAUGCCAAUGGCACUGCCCGGUAGCUAAAUGCGGAAGAGAUAAGUGCUGAAAGCAUCUAAGCACGAAACUUGCCCCGAGAUGAGUUCUCCCUGACUCCUUGA